GGUAUAUAGCUUAGUUGGUAGAGUGCUUGACUCACAUGCACAAGGACCUGGGUUUAAUCCCCAGCACCA
Molecule: transfer RNA, 69 nt
Filed under: Marmota monax (woodchuck)
Lineage: Eukaryota; Metazoa; Chordata; Mammalia; Rodentia; Sciuridae
Description: tRNA.Val
Source: RNAcentral